CAGUCGCCACGGGAAUACGAAGGGGGCUAGCGUUGCUCGGAAUGACUGGGCGUAAAGGGCGCGUAGGCGGAUUGUUUAGUUAGGCGUGAAAUUCCUGGGCUUAACCUGGGGACUGCGCUUAAUACAGGCAAUCUAGAGUGAGGAAGAGGGUUGUGGAAUUCCCAGUGUAGAGGUGAAAUUCGUAGAUAUUGGGAAGAACACCGGUGGCGAAGGCGGCAACCUGGUCCUUGACUGACGCUGAGGCGCGAAAGCGUGGGGAGCAAACAGGAUUAGAUACCCCAGUAGUCCCUGUCUCUUAUAU
RNAcentral lists this ribosomal RNA (301 nucleotides) under uncultured bacterium. RNAcentral's name for it is "partial 16S ribosomal RNA". It matches the Rfam family "Bacterial small subunit ribosomal RNA", at positions 509 to 809 of the family's 1533-position model. The record is from RNAcentral.